Molecule: ribosomal RNA, 119 nt
Filed under: Varanus komodoensis (Komodo dragon)
Lineage: Eukaryota; Metazoa; Chordata; Lepidosauria; Squamata; Varanidae
Source: RNAcentral
GUCUACAGACACGCUGCCCUGAAAGCACCUGAUCCCAUCUGAUCCUGGAAGUUAAGCAGGGUCCGGACUGGUUAGUACUUGGAUGGGAGACCUCCAGGGAAUACCAAGUGCUGCAGGCU